GGGCCUGUAGCUCAGGUGGUUAGAGCGCAUCUCUGAUAAGGAUGAGGUCCCUGGUUCGAGUCCAGGCAGGCCCACCA
This 77-nucleotide transfer RNA is filed under the name Rubrobacter sp. RNAcentral's name for it is "tRNA-Ile". It matches the Rfam family "tRNA". Rfam says of the family: Transfer RNA (tRNA) molecules are approximately 80 nucleotides in length. Their secondary structure includes four short double-helical elements and three loops (D, anti-codon, and T loops). Lineage: Bacteria; Bacillati; Actinomycetota; Rubrobacteria; Rubrobacterales; Rubrobacteraceae. The record is from RNAcentral.